GACGAACGCUGGCGGCGUGCUUAACACAUGCAAGUCGAACGGAAAGGCCCUGCUUUUGUGGGGUGCUCGAGUGGCGAACGGGUGAGUAACACGUGAGUAACCUGCCCUUGACUUUGGGAUAACUUCAGGAAACUGGGGCUAAUACCGGAUAGGAGCUCCUGCUGCAUGGUGGGGGUUGGAAAGUUUCGGCGGUUGGGGAUGGACUCGCGGCUUAGCAGCUUGUUGGGGGGGUAGUGGCUUACCAAGGCUUUGACGGGUAGCCGGCCUGAGAGGGUGACCGGCCACAUUGGGACUGAGAUACGGCCCAGACUCCUACGGGAGGCAGCAGUGGGGAAUAUUGCACAAUGGGCGGAAGCCUGAUGCAGCAACGCCGCGUGCGGGAUGACGGCCUUCGGGUUGUAAACCGCUUUCGCCUGUGACGAAGCGUGAGUGACGGUAAUGGGUAAAGAAGCACCGGCUAACUACGUG
This 468-nucleotide ribosomal RNA is filed under the name uncultured bacterium. RNAcentral describes it as "partial 16S ribosomal RNA". It matches the Rfam family "Bacterial small subunit ribosomal RNA", at positions 28 to 507 of the family's 1533-position model. The record is from RNAcentral.